UGUGAACAAAAUCCCACGCUGAGGACUGCGGGAGGCCGACGCGUCGUGCUUGUCCGCCGACCAAAUUGGCUCCGCCUGGUUAGCCUCGCCCUCACUUCAACAGCAUCUCCAUCGCACGACGUCUCUUGCCCCAUCGCCGCCGCGCCGGGCGCCCUUACGCAUGACACCGGCACCAGCACGGUGCGCGCGGCGCGGUCGGCCACGGCGAGGAUGAACACGACAACACGCGUCAGCCACCCGGACUGCCCACGGGCCAAGAGUGCGGGCACACGCUCCCGUGGUUAACGGCCUGGUAGUGGAAAGAUUGGUGAGAAAUUAGCAUAAAACUCUUCCCCUGAUCAUUCAUCUCCUCCGCGUCAGUUGUUUCACCUUUUGCCGAGCUCCUUCUCCGGCCAAAAAUUCCUCGCCGUCAUUCACUCUUUUUUCAAUUCCUUUUCACAUACGUCAUGCACAGCACCUCGACAACCCAUUUGAGUCGCUUGUGAGCUAAACUUUCACUGCAGUCACCUUCUCGCUGUGUUCUUCCUUCUCGGGCGCCGCCGAGCCGAGCCGUCAAGCACGCCGGUGAGCAAGGCCAUUGUGGCUGUGGGGAUCAGUGUUGUGUGGUCUACGGGAUGUGAGGAGGUGCAUAGGAGAGGUAUAAGCAGUUUUUGAAGUCGUUCCAUGGCCGGAGCGGCCGGAACGCAGCGCGCCACUGUGGCCGAGGGGGCCACCGCGGAGCUCCCUGCUUCGGGUCCUGAGGCUCGGCUGGGGCCCAUGGACUCUUACUGCAGUUGUGCUGGUGCUCCCCGAGCCGAUGGCCGGCGAAGCACUGCAGCAGCCGGCCGCCGUGGCCGCCCUCGCCGGAGUUGGGGGCUGCCGCCGCUGGCCUGGGUCUGUGGGGAAGCCAAACUUGGAGACAACUCUCUCUCUCUCCAUGUCGAGUGUCGAGAAUGCAAUCUUUUUUGUUCUGCUUUUUUUUGUUUUGCUCCAUGCCAAGUGCCUAACAGGCUGCCUAAUAUUGAUGCUGCAUUUUCUACACUUUAUAUUGCUGUUAAGCACUUUCCCUUCUCCGGUGAUAAAGUGACUUUUUUUGAACUUAAAUUUUUAGUAUUUUGUAUGUCAGGUUGCACUGAAAUCCAAACUGUAUGAAGGACUCAAUUCAGAGAUGGUGUUGGUGGAGCAAGCAAAUGAAACAUGAAAGGCCAAAUCCCAUAUGCAUGUUAAAUGGCUAUAUAAAUAUGUCAGAUAUGAUUUAUUUCUAUCAUCCUACAAUAUAGCUGAUUACAUUGUUAUAUGUUCACCAUUAUUCGUAUAAUUUCUUCCAACAUUUCUUUUCUACCAUUGAGAAACUUUUUUCUACCAUUAAUUUAAUUGCCUAAACAUAGUAUUUUUGCCUUGAAAAAUACCAUCAUGAGGACUAUUUGCUCGAUCUCCUACGAUUAUUUGCUUAGGAGGUUUCAGUUCAAUGCCCUGCAAUACUUUGUAUUAUAUAUUUGUAUACCUCACAAGCGUUGUGGUUCACACAAAAUUAUAAUUUCUUUCUUGGAUAAGCAGAGAUGUCCAGUUCAGCAUGGUUUAUUCUUCUACACACUGACAACAAAACAUGUUUUUGUUGGAGACCUUUCUAGGGAGCAGUGUUCAGAAAAUAUAAUGGAAGUUAGGACGUAAGUUGCUGGUGUUUCUAAAAGUUUGACGGCACCACUAUCUAAUCAAAUCUGGUAACCUAAUCAACAUAUUUAAAUAUAAUUAUUUUAUCAGUUAAUGCAUUCCUAUAUUGCUUCAUAUUUAAUUUUCUUUGUUUUUGUUUGGUCAUUGUUGCUGGGAUGGGAGACGAGAGCAUAGAUAGGAGUCAACAGUCCGGACUUCAGGUAUGUUGUUGCCUCCUAGGUAACUGAAUUUUAAGACAUUGUUUUACAAGGAGGCAAGAAGCUACAGAUGCUCGAUGUGCUCAAGGUCCUGCUCAAGCUGCUGACUCUAUAGGUUGUCAUCUGUUGAUAAAAGAACAUGAAGGCACAUACAGGAAUUGCAUGGAGCAGUCGUAUACGGGAAUUGUAUGAAGAAGCCCUACAGUGAAACUUAUUCAUCUCUACCUUCCACCAUAUAUGCGAGCUAUUGUUAGUUCUUGGUUGUUUGAUUUUCGCAGCUGUGGCGGACUGAAACCCUUUUAUAUAUGAUUAGAUUUUAAAGAGGUGAAAGAUGUCAUUUGCAUUAUGCAGAAACUAUGCUGUUGAAGUGAGCAUUCAAUUGUAUUGUCACAAAGAAGGUUGUAAUAUGUUAAAACCUCUUGCUUGCCAACACGAGAUGCUACUAUUUCAUUUUCUA
Long non-coding RNA from Panicum virgatum (switchgrass), 2304 nucleotides. RefSeq lists it as uncharacterized. The record is from RefSeq and is a predicted model, not a curated record. The transcript is spliced from 3 exons. NCBI's taxonomy places the organism in Eukaryota, Viridiplantae, Streptophyta, Magnoliopsida, Poales, Poaceae.